Molecule: long non-coding RNA, 117 nt
Organism: Amblyraja radiata (thorny skate)
Lineage: Eukaryota; Metazoa; Chordata; Chondrichthyes; Rajiformes; Rajidae
Exons: 3
Source: RefSeq, a predicted model, not a curated record
GAACCGUUGGAGCAAGAGGAGGAGUUUCUGGGCGGUGAGUGUUUAAAUCGGGCGGGGGGCUUUACUACACAGAGGCCCGGGAGCCGUUGGAGCAAGAGGAGGGGUCGUCGAGUGGUG